UUUUGCUUUCAUGAACAGGGUUUUAUUGAUUCAAUACAAAGUUUUCUUCAUAUAUUGAUGUAUGGGACUGAUCUAAUUGAAAACUGGACUAUAUACUAUUUAUUAAGCUUUCUGUUUUUCAAUUUUCACGUUUCUGUUUUGUCAUAAUUUCGUGAUUUUAUCCCUCAAAUCAGUUUUCACGAAAAUUAUUCAUAUAAAUUACAUCUAAUAAUUUUUCGAAAACCAGAUUCUGCCUUUUUAAUAUGUUUAUCCUAUACGAAGUUAGCUUUCUGGAGUUAUGAAAUUCUUUCCCCAUCUUAUGUAUGUUUUUAGACAGCUUGCUGACUUCCCCUAAGUGGUUGUGUAUGAAUUUUGGCAAAAUUACACUUAAACAUUUAACGUAAUUGAUUAGAGGUUGAUGUCCGAGAGAGAAGGGCAUUCCAACUUGUUAUCAGAACCAACUUUUUAGUUUUAGAGCUACUAGAAAUAUAACUGUCUUAUGUGUUCUUCUAUGUCUUAGUGCAUUCUUUUCCGUUUAAUGGCCAAUGAUUCCUCAAUCUCACCGAUCUAGGUAAAUUACUUACAGAGUUUUUUCUUUUAUAUAUUGAAGGAGAAGAAAAUGGCAGCAUCCAGAGCCUCAUCUAACAGAAAAAACAAUGAGGAGAAAAAGAAGGAGCAGCUGCUUCGUGCAGCUCGAAAGCGAUAUGGAUCUACUAUUGUUAUUGAGCAGUUUCUCAAGUUCAACCCUUCAUCAUUCGAUGGUACUGCUGGAACAGGGAAGUGGUUAGAAGAUAUGGAGCGUAUUUUGCGAGUCAUGGAGUGCAUUGACGUAGAGAAGGUUUCCUGCGCAUCAUUUAUGCUAAAAAAUAGAGCUUGUCAUUGGUGGGAGAGUAGAAUUGAACGAAAUGUGACUUGGGCUAGGUUCAGACAGCUGGUGCUUGAAAAGUACUCUCCCGAGACACUUAGAGAUCAGAAAGAGGCGAAGUUGCUAGUGAAAGUCGAGAAUGAAGGAGAGAAACAAGAGAAGAGAAAACUUGAUGCCUUGAAGACAAAAGGAGGCCUGAGCAAGAAGAAAAAGUCUGCCAAUCAAACACAUUGCACCAAAUGCAACCGGCAUCACAAAGGGGAGUGUUUGUUUGGGAGGAACGUCUGCUACGAAUGCAGCCAGCCAGGGUAUAUGUCUCGAGGGUGCACUCAGAAUCAGGGGAAUAAAGAGAGUAAAGAUCAGAAGAAAGCCAAGGCAAACCGCAGUUUUAAGCUGAAAUAGACACAUUUACAUUGCACAUCAGAAUUGUACAGAAACUGUGAAUGGUUCAAGAUGUUUAUCACACACAUUCUUGUAAUAUUUCACGGUAUUUUUGUGUGCAGUUUAAUAUUCCUUUAUUUACCGAUUGGUUGCUGAUAUAAUGCUGUUUUUCAUUAUGACUUGUCAUUACCAUCUAUAACAUUUCUUCUUUGUAUAGGACGAUAUGAAUCAAUUUAAAUAAAUCACUGUU
Molecule: long non-coding RNA, 1475 nt
Filed under: Olea europaea subsp. europaea
Lineage: Eukaryota; Viridiplantae; Streptophyta; Magnoliopsida; Lamiales; Oleaceae
Source: RNAcentral